This 299-nucleotide unclassified non-coding RNA is filed under the name fungal sp. RNAcentral describes it as "partial internal transcribed spacer region". The stretch from base 1 to 46 matches the Rfam family "Eukaryotic small subunit ribosomal RNA", at positions 1786 to 1831 of the family's 1831-position model. Lineage: Eukaryota; Fungi. The record is from RNAcentral.
AAGUCGUAACAAGGUCUCCGUAGGUGAACCUGCGGAGGGAUCAUUUAUGAUGACAAGUGAAAAUUAACUGGGGAUGGUUUUGGAGGUGGGGUGGUGAAUGAAUGGAUGUGGCCUGGUGAGGACUGUGGGAGUUGCCAGGGGAGAAAAGGGUUUUGGUGGUGAAUGGAUGGCACUCCGCGGGACUCGCCCGGCCGGUCGCGGACAAGUGACGCAGAGUCGCGCAGCGCCCACGGGCCUGUGACUAAAACACCAGAGAAAGUGACAAUUGACAACUGUCGGCAACGGAUCUCUUGGUUCUC